This 253-nucleotide ribosomal RNA is filed under the name uncultured bacterium. RNAcentral describes it as "partial 16S ribosomal RNA". It matches the Rfam family "Bacterial small subunit ribosomal RNA", at positions 524 to 776 of the family's 1533-position model. The record is from RNAcentral.
UACAGAGGUCUCAAGCGUUGUUCGGAUUCAUUGGGCGUAAAGGGUGCGUAGGCGGCGCGGUAAGUCGGGUGUGAAAUCUUGGAGCUUAACUCCGAAACUGCAUUCGAUACUGCCGUGCUUGAGGACUGGAGAGGAGACUGGAAUUUACGGUGUAGCGGUGAAAUGCGUAGAUAUCGUAAGGAAGACCAGUGGCGAAGGCGGGUCUCUGGACAGUUCCUGACGCUGAGGCACAAAGGUCAGGGGAGCAAACGGG